AACGAACGCUGGCGGCAUGCCUAACACAUGCAAGUCGAACGAGACCUUCGGGUCUAGUGGCGCACGGGUGCGUAACCCGUGGGAACCUGCCCUUAGGUUCGGAAUAACUCCCCGAAAGGGGUGCUAAUACCGGAUAAUGUCUUCGGACCAAAGAUUUAUCGCCUUUGGAUGGGCCCGCGUUGGAUUAGCUAGUUGGUAGGGUAAAAGCCUACCAAGGCGACGAUCCAUAGCUGGUCUGAGAGGAUGAUCAGCCACACUGGGACUGAGACACGGCCCAGACUCCUACGGGAGGAAGCAGUGGGGAAUAUUGGACAAUGGGCGAAAGCCUGAUCCAGCAAUGCCGCGUGAGUGAUGAAGGCCUUAGGGUUGUAAAGCUCUUUUACCCGGGAUGAUAAUGACAGUACCGGGAGAAUAAGCUCCGGCUAACUCCGUG
Molecule: ribosomal RNA, 433 nt
Filed under: uncultured bacterium
Lineage: Bacteria
Description: partial 16S ribosomal RNA
Rfam family: Bacterial small subunit ribosomal RNA
Source: RNAcentral